CAGCAGCCACGGUAAUACGUAGGGUGCGAGCGUUAAUCGGAAUUACUGGGCGUAAAGCGUGCGCAGGCGGUUUUGUAAGACGGGCGUGAAAUCCCCGGGCUCAACCUGGGAAUGGCGCUUGUGACUGCAAAGCUAGAGUGCGGCAGAGGGGGAUGGAAUUCCGCGUGUAGCAGUGAAAUGCGUAGAUAUGCGGAGGAACACCGAUGGCGAAGGCAAUCCCCUGGGCCUGCACUGACGCUCAUGCACGAAAGCGUGGGGAGCAAACAGGAUUAGAUACCCGCGUAGUCCCUGUCUCUUAUAC
This 301-nucleotide ribosomal RNA is filed under the name uncultured bacterium. RNAcentral's name for it is "partial 16S ribosomal RNA". It matches the Rfam family "Bacterial small subunit ribosomal RNA", at positions 509 to 807 of the family's 1533-position model. The record is from RNAcentral.